Molecule: non-coding RNA, 29 nt
Filed under: Homo sapiens (human)
Lineage: Eukaryota; Metazoa; Chordata; Mammalia; Primates; Hominidae
Source: RNAcentral
UGGGCUUGUCUUCCUUUUCCACACUGCCA